This is a non-coding RNA of Pelobates cultripes (western spadefoot toad), 205 nucleotides long. The record is from the annotation of a GenBank genome assembly. NCBI's taxonomy places the organism in Eukaryota, Metazoa, Chordata, Amphibia, Anura, Pelobatidae.
GUAACUUUUCCUGUAUAACUGGAGCUUUCCAAUUACUCAGUCUGUGAGGUGAUACUAUUUACUGUCCCUAGACUGAUUAUCACUUUUCUCCAUCAGUGAUUGUUGGUGUGUAGAGAACAUCAUUUAUUAACAUCUGUUUUCUUUCUGAAAUACAUCACUCAACUUCGCAAUUUACCCCAAUGCUUUACUUUUCACCAUAUCUCUU